UGUCUGGUUUAUUGCUAACUCCUCCAAGUGACUGAUUAUUGCCAACGUCGAAUUAAUAAGUCUCCUCUGAUGUUAAUGAUUGUGAGUGUUCCCAGGAAAGGACUAAAAGAUGACUUUCCAAACAAUAUGUCGCUUGGAAAUACCCAAAACAAACUCAAUGUCCAUUCCUGGCGUGUUAAUUGAACCGAACUGACUCAAUGCCUCGUGUUAAAAGUCCUUUACUCCGCUUCUCUGGCCCACAGUUUAUUUUCAACUACUUUUAUUUCGGACCCGAUCUUAAAGCAAAUCAAGAAGGGAAAGUUUGUCAAAUCACUUCCACAAGACAAAGUCGGCUUCCGAGGCAGCCGGGCCGCACAAAGCAGGGACGCACCCGCUGACCCUCUCGGGGAGCGACCUGGGGCGUCGGGUUUCGGUCAGACCGCAGCAGGAAGUUUUCCCUUCCUUUGCGGCAGGCAGCGGAGCCAAAGGGAAACCUGAACUCCCCCUCCACGGGGCACCCAGAGAAACACCCAAAAUGUUUGACCAAAUAUCUGGGCACCCCGUGGCCCAGUCAAGUUGACACAUAAUUUUAACCAUCAAUGAGAGGAAGACGGAGAGUGCUACUGACCUAGCUUGAGUCAUGUGCCCAGCCCUUUGAUUAGCACCUAAUCCUGGCCUGCCUUCUUAGAAAGCUACACCAUCGGCCGCAAGGACACUGAGAAGUGAGUGUGGAUGAAAAUGGUCACCAGAGUCCAUGUCCUAUACUGUGUGGGACAGCUGUGUCCUCUCCCACACCUGGCCCUCUGUCAUCUGCCCCAGGUGGAUGUACGAGCUCCUCAGUGCAGGUAACAGGAGCCGCUGGGAGGCCCGGGCCGCAGGAGGGCUGCACACCCCAAGGGGCUGCGGGAACAGGCGCUGAAAUGUCAGGAUUUCUCAAGAGGAGUUCCUUUUCUCCCCCCAAUUCAAGAUCUGAGGUGGCUGUGGGAAAAAGAACUAGAAUGGUUUGUCUCCCCCUGUCCUGCCAAGCCCCACCUCUGACAAGGCUCCCUUAUCCCUUCCUCUUUUACUUCGGCUGCUGGAAAUAAGAAAAAAGGAAAGGAAUAAGACUGAAAAAGGAGGUAAAAAGAAAAGGAAGGCAGAGUAAGAGGGGAAAUUAUGUUCUGAAAGUAUUAAAAGUAUUUCUAUAUAAUGAGAUGUUGAAUUUGUACCUACAUGAGGUCUGCGCCUGCCUGGUUUGGGCAAUUCUCACAGUAUCUUGUUAGGUACUAGCCUGAGUCCUUAUGCAGGAGCUGAGGUAUCUCCUGGGAGAGAAACUUCCUCAGGGAAGAGUCCAACGAAGGCGCUUGUCCUGGUAAAAACAUCCCAUAGUCACUGCCGUGGAUACGCCCUGUUAUGUCUGCGUGUGUGUGCGCCCUCGAGAUGGAUACGUAGAUGUGUAUGUACUGUGCACACAUGUAUACGUGUAUAUAUUAGGGGGUGAUUUGGAAUCAUGAGAGCAGAGGAGACACUAUGGGAUUAAUGUGCAUAAAAAAGAGACCCCAGAGCUGCCUUGUCUCUUUCACCAAGCGAGGACAUGGUGAGAAGUUGCCAUGUGUGAACUAGAUUUGAUCUUGGACUUCCCACCCUCUAGAACUGGCAGAAAUAAGUCUUUGUUGUUUAUAAGCCACUCAGUUUAUGGUAUUUUGUGUACCUUGCAGUAGAAUUGCUGGGUCAUGGGGUACAUUCUGUCAGCUUUGCUAGAUGAUGCCAAGGUCAUUCCAUCAGUUUACACACCCACCAGCUGUACACGAGAGGUCUUAAUGCUCCACAUCCUCGCCAACACUUGGUCAUGCUCGUCUUGGUAAGUUUAGCUCCUUUGGUCAGCAUGAUUCUCCUAAGAAGAGGGAUAUUCUACUGUUUAAUCACAAUACUCAAGAAAAUUAACAAUAAGUCCAUAGUGUCAUACAAUAUUUUGUCCAUCUUUAACCUUCCCCAAUUGACCUGAAAAUGUCUUUUAUAGCUGGUUUUGGGAAAUCAA
This is a non-coding RNA of Microcebus murinus (gray mouse lemur), 1996 nucleotides long. Lineage: Eukaryota; Metazoa; Chordata; Mammalia; Primates; Cheirogaleidae. The record is from RefSeq and is a predicted model, not a curated record.